This is a long non-coding RNA of Oncorhynchus gorbuscha (pink salmon), 1514 nucleotides long. RefSeq lists it as uncharacterized. Lineage: Eukaryota; Metazoa; Chordata; Actinopteri; Salmoniformes; Salmonidae. The transcript is spliced from 3 exons. The record is from RefSeq and is a predicted model, not a curated record.
AUGAGUUCGGAUAGGCCUUUCUACUGCAGUAUUUUUUAAAGAUAUAAUGUUAGCCAUGGAGAACUGCAAAUACAUUGCUACUGCUCUCAAUAACAUUGCUGCCCUGAAUUUAUCAGGCGCUAUUGACAAAGGUGAGAAAAAGUUGUGAUGGACUUCUUUCUGAACGAGGAAUGCUGGCUCUCUCACUCUGAAAUUAACAUGUUUUGAAAUCAGUGGAACACAACGGGCCAAACAAGCUGUGCAAACUAAAUUGGAAACAACACAGGAACUCUUAUAAAAUGGAUUGCAGUCUGCCAUGAAGCUUUCAUCCAUGUAUACAGCUUCAAUCAGUAGAACACACCUGACUCUAAGCCACCAGCCAUACAGUCAUCAAAAAUAGAGCUAGCAAGCAAAGGCAGCAGCGCAGUCAUCAACUACAUGCACCAUUUCUUCACCAACGACCAAAAACAGCUGUGGACCUGAAUUGUGAUAACUGCAGUGGUCAAAACAAGAACAAGUUUGUGCUCUGGUAUUGUGCCUGGUGGACCACCAGAAUCUGGACCUUCACUUCCUGAUCACAGGCAACGCCAAGUUUGCCCCCGACUGGUGCUUCGGCCUCAUCAAGCAGUGCUUCAAAAGAGUGAACACUGAGAUUGCUGGUGUUGUGAAGGACAGCACUGUGACAGGGGUCACUCUGACAGGGGUCAACAUCCCAGUAUCAGCACUUCAGUUUCGUUGCUCUGGAGCCUGGUGUUGUCGCCAAGGAGUGUUCGGACUGUUGGGACCAGGUUUCAGCUGCUGCGCAACGCUGACAUCCUUCCUCCCAUAGAUGGUCUGCAUGUAAAAGCACCACCUGGACUGGACACAGCUAGACAAACUAUAUUUUUGACAAGAUCAGGGAGUUUUGCGGUGAAGAGACUAUGGACAUCACGUGCCCUGUACCAAAGUCAAGGACAGGACAGAAGCAGGCUCCCUGCUUGGGAAUAUAGAUUCUCUUUGAUCACGUGUGGUUUGGACGGACCAGACAUGAGCUCUAUCAAUAGUACCUCUAUUCACAUGACUCUCUCCUAACACACACGCCAUAUGUUGCUGCUACUAUUGUUUACCCCGCUGCUCAGCCACUUUACCUCUGAUUGUAUGCAUUUAAUUACCUCGUCUGUCACCGAUAUUGAUAUUGUUUUUUUUACAUACUGUAUAUUUUAUCUAUAUUGACACUAUCUAUUUCUGAUAUUGCUACCAUGCAAGUAACCAUUUGGCUGUAUCAUUUACACCUUCUGUAGAGACCCAUCCACUUAGCGAGACUUAGCAAAAUAUUGAUGUAUAAAAUCAAUAUUGAUGUGUGGUCGUAACAUGAUUUUAUGGCAUACCACAAUAAUAUCUUGUGACUGUAUCCAGUGUCCACCACAUAAAUAUAUGGAGCAUGCAUCAGUUUAUGUACUGUAAAAAAAACUCACUCAGGUUGCAAGGCCUUAAUUUAGGUAUGGAAUACUAUGUGAUAAGUGCGUGUGUAACAGUAUAUAAAGUAUGCUACUGUA